Molecule: long non-coding RNA, 474 nt
Organism: Folsomia candida
Lineage: Eukaryota; Metazoa; Arthropoda; Collembola; Entomobryomorpha; Isotomidae
Exons: 4
Source: RefSeq, a predicted model, not a curated record
UGCUCGGAAUCUUCAUCCGUCCCUUCGCCAAUAGUAAAGAAAGCACUCGGCCUGCGCCAAGCUCGGGCAAACUUGGGAUUGUCUGAAAAUUAAAGAAAAUUAAAGAAAACAUUAGAACCGUUUAAGAAGAUGCGAUUACUACAUCACCCUUCUCAUGAAUCUUAAUGAACAUCACUGACGAAAUUUCACCGUAUAGUAGAUAAAAAGUAUGAGUAAUCCAUGUUCAAUCUGUUCUUCGUUGAGGUCAAAGGUGGUCAUUGCCUGAUCUGUUUAAAAACUAAAUGUGAAACACGACGUGUUCGGGUAAAGGUGACGUGACGAUGGAGUUUGAUUACUAUGAUUUACUGUGCAAAAUCCACGUACUAAAUUGCAAUUUAAAAGGAUUAUUUGUAUGUAUGUAUGAAUGAAGACAGGAACUCGCUAUAUUUUAUUUUGCUUAAACUGCAUAGUUUUGAUCUGUAUAAAUUGUGGAUG